CCCUGUUCACAAUACUCAUUCUUACCUCACUAGACAAGUGUCACAGCAGUAAUGAAGAUCAGAAGCCUCACAGUGGAGGUUCUUGCUUAACAGCUAGCAACGUCUUCCAGUCCCAUGGAGAGCCAACUGGGUCAACGCAAUGUAUUCUAACACAGAAAGAAAGGAGAAGUUCAGAGAAAGUGGAAUGAGCCUCCAAGACUGAAAACAUCCCAAUCUUCUUUUGCUCCAGCUCUUCCUUGGUUUCUUCAACCAAUGAGUGCUUUGCUACCCUCAAAAUCCAUGGAGAAGAUGCCUUGACUUCUCUUUCUCAGAAAGCUUCUGUCUUCUGCACCCUCUGCUAUGAAAUC
RNAcentral lists this long non-coding RNA (347 nucleotides) under Pogona vitticeps (central bearded dragon). RNAcentral's name for it is "lncRNA (ENSPVIG00000006138.1)". Lineage: Eukaryota; Metazoa; Chordata; Lepidosauria; Squamata; Agamidae. The record is from RNAcentral.